Molecule: ribosomal RNA, 354 nt
Filed under: uncultured Geobacillus sp.
Lineage: Bacteria; Bacillati; Bacillota; Bacilli; Caryophanales; Anoxybacillaceae
Description: bacterial SSU rRNA
Rfam family: Bacterial small subunit ribosomal RNA
Source: RNAcentral
AGGGUGACAGGUGGUGCAUGGUUGUCGUCAGCUCGUGUCGUGAGAUGUUGGGUUAAGUCCCGCAACGAGCGCAACCCUCGCCUCUAGUUGCCAGCAUUCGGUUGGGCACUCUAGAGGGACUGCCGGCGACAAGUCGGAGGAAGGUGGGGAUGACGUCAAAUCAUCAUGCCCCUUAUGACCUGGGCUACACACGUGCUACAAUGGGCGGUACAAAGGGCUGCGAACCCGCGAGGGGGAGCGAAUCCCAAAAAAGCCGCUCUCAGUUCGGAUUGCAGGCUGCAACUCGCCUGCAUGAAGCCGGAAUCGCUAGUAAUCGCGGAUCAGCAUGCCGCGGUGAAUACGUUCCCGGGCCUU